Molecule: transfer RNA, 78 nt
Filed under: Acidianus ambivalens
Lineage: Archaea; Thermoproteati; Thermoproteota; Thermoprotei; Sulfolobales; Sulfolobaceae
Also listed under: 2 other names
Description: tRNA-Ile
Rfam family: tRNA
About the family: Transfer RNA (tRNA) molecules are approximately 80 nucleotides in length. Their secondary structure includes four short double-helical elements and three loops (D, anti-codon, and T loops).
Source: RNAcentral
GGGCCCGUAGCUUAGCAUGGUUAGAGCGCCCGGCUGAUAACCGGGAGGUCGGGGGUUCAAAUCCCCCCGGGCCCACCA